RNAcentral lists this ribosomal RNA (420 nucleotides) under uncultured prokaryote. RNAcentral describes it as "bacterial SSU rRNA". It matches the Rfam family "Bacterial small subunit ribosomal RNA", at positions 340 to 774 of the family's 1533-position model. The record is from RNAcentral.
CCCGGGAGGCAGCAGUGGGGAAUAUUGGGCAAUGGGCGCAAGCCUGACCCAGCAACGCCGCGUGAGGGAAGAAGGUCUUCGGAUUGUAAACCUCUGUCCUUGGGGACGAAAAAAAUGACGGUACCCAAGGAGGAAGCUCCGGCUAACUACGUGCCAGCAGCCGCGGUAAUACGUAGGGAGCGAGCGUUGUCCGGAAUUACUGGGCGUAACGGGUGCGUGGGCGGCUUGGUAAGUCAGAUGUGAAAUCCCCGGGCUUAACUCGGGAGGUGCAUUUGAAACUGCUAGGCUUGAGUGCAGGAGAGGAAAGCGGAAUUCCUAGUGUAGCGGUGAAAUGCGUAGAUAUUAGGAGGAACACCAGUGGCGAAGGCGGUCUUCUGGACUGUAACUGACGCUGAGGCACGAAAGCGUGGGGAGCAAACA